RNAcentral lists this ribosomal RNA (253 nucleotides) under uncultured bacterium. RNAcentral describes it as "partial 16S ribosomal RNA". It matches the Rfam family "Bacterial small subunit ribosomal RNA", at positions 524 to 776 of the family's 1533-position model. The record is from RNAcentral.
GAUGGAGGAUGCAAGCGUUAUCCGGAUUUAUUGGGUUUAAAGGGUGCGUAGGCGGCCUUGUAAGUCAGUGGUGAAAACCUGCAGCUCAACUGUAGGCGUGCCAAUGAAACUGUGAGGCUUGAGUGACGUUGAGGCAGGCGGAAUGUGUAGUGUAGCGGUGAAAUGCUUAGAUAUUACACAGAACACCGAUUGCGUAGGCAGCUUGCUAAAGGUUAACUGACGCUGAUGCACGAAAGCGUGGGGAUCGAACAGG